Molecule: ribosomal RNA, 279 nt
Filed under: uncultured bacterium
Lineage: Bacteria
Description: partial 16S ribosomal RNA
Rfam family: Bacterial small subunit ribosomal RNA
Source: RNAcentral
UGCCAGCCGCCGCGGUAAUACGAAGGGUGCUAGCGUUGUUCGGAAUUACUGGGCGUAAAGCGCGUGUAGGCGGCUUGGCAAGUCUGGUGUGAAAUCUUGGGGCUCAACCCCAAGCGUGCACUGGAAACUGCCUCGCUAGAGUCCGGGAGAGGAGAGCGGAACUCCGAGUGUAGCGGUGAAAUGCGCAGAUAUUCGGAAGAACACCAAUGGCGAAGGCAGCUCUUUGGAACGGUACUGACGCUGAGACGCGAAAGCGUGGGGAGCGAACAGGAUUAGAUA